CCUACGGGAGGCAGCAGUGGGGAAUAUUGGACAAUGGGCGAAAGCCUGAUCCAGCAAUGCCGCGUGAGUGAUGAAGGCCCUAGGGUUGUAAAGCUCUUUUACCCGGGAAGAUAAUGACUGUACCGGGAGAAUAAGCCCCGGCUAACUCCGUGCCAGCAGCCGCGGUAAUACGGAGGGGGCUAGCGUUGUUCGGAAUUACUGGGCGUAAAGCGCACGUAGGCGGCUUUGUAAGUCAGAGGUGAAAGCCUGGAGCUCAACUCCAGAACUGCCUUUGAGACUGCAUCGCUUGAAUCCAGGAGAGGUCAGUGGAAUUCCGAGUGUAGAGGUGAAAUUCGUAGAUAUUCGGAAGAACACCAGUGGCGAAGGCGGCUGACUGGACUGGUAUUGACGCUGAGGUGCGAAAGCGUGGGGAGCAAACAGGAUUAGAUACCCGAGUAGUC
RNAcentral lists this ribosomal RNA (440 nucleotides) under Citrobacter sp. AAK_AS5. RNAcentral's name for it is "bacterial SSU rRNA". It matches the Rfam family "Bacterial small subunit ribosomal RNA", at positions 338 to 795 of the family's 1533-position model. Lineage: Bacteria; Pseudomonadati; Pseudomonadota; Gammaproteobacteria; Enterobacterales; Enterobacteriaceae. The record is from RNAcentral.